This 459-nucleotide ribosomal RNA is filed under the name uncultured bacterium. RNAcentral describes it as "partial 16S ribosomal RNA". It matches the Rfam family "Bacterial small subunit ribosomal RNA", at positions 338 to 795 of the family's 1533-position model. The record is from RNAcentral.
CCUACGGGAGGCAGCAGUGAGGAAUAUUGGUCAAUGGGAGAGAUCCUGAACCAGCCAAGCCGCGUGAGGGAAGACGGCCCUAUGGGUUGUAAACCUCUUUUGUCGGAGAACAAAACCCGGGACGUGUCCCGUACUGCGUGUAUCCGAAGAAAAAGCAUCGGCUAACUCCGUGCCAGCAGCCGCGGUAAUACGGAGGAUGCGAGCGUUAUCCGGAUUUAUUGGGUUUAAAGGGUGCGUAGGCGGUCCGUUAAGUCAGCGGUAAAAUUGCGGGGCUCAACCCCGUCGAGCCGUUGAAACUGGCAGACUUGAGUUGGCGAGAAGUACGCGGAAUGCGCGGUGUAGCGGUGAAAUGCAUAGAUAUCACGCAGAACUCCGAUUGCGAAGGCAGCGUACCGGCGCCAGACUGACGCUGAGGCACGAAAGCGUGGGGAUCGAACAGGAUUAGAUACCCUAGUAGUC